GACGAACGCUGGCGGCGUGCUUAACACAUGCAAGUCGAACGGAAAGGCCCUGCUUUUGUGGGGUGCUCGAGUGGCGAACGGGUGAGUAACACGUGAGUAACCUGCCCUUGACUUUGGGAUAACUUCAGGAAACUGGGGCUAAUACCGUAUAGGAGCUCCUGCUGCAUGGUGGGGGUUGGAAAGUUUCGGCGGUUGGGGAUGGACUCGCGGCUUAUCAGCUUGUUGGUGGGGUAGUGGCUUACCAAGGCUUUGACGGGUAGCCGGCCUGAGAGGGUGACCGGCCACAUUGGGACUGCGAUACGGCCCAGACUCCUACGGGAGGCAGCAGUGGGGAAUAUUGCACAAUGGGCGGAAGCCUGAUGCAGCAACGCCGCGUGCGGGAUGACGGCCUUCGGGUUGUAAACCGCUUUCGCCUGUGACGAAGCGUGAGUGACGGUAAUGGGUAAAGAAGCACCGGCUAACUACGUG
This 468-nucleotide ribosomal RNA is filed under the name uncultured bacterium. RNAcentral's name for it is "partial 16S ribosomal RNA". It matches the Rfam family "Bacterial small subunit ribosomal RNA", at positions 28 to 507 of the family's 1533-position model. The record is from RNAcentral.